GAGAUAAUCCAUGCAAAUCAGAGGCACUGGCUCCCAGUGCUCGAUUCACAAAGAGAACUCAGCUUCAGGAGGUCACUCGUUCACAGCUGCUCCUCCCAUUAUAUUUUUCCCUUAUUGCAGAACUACUGCAUGUAUACAGUGACUGAAAAGGACUCAAUUCACUGCAACUGCUGCCUGGCUUUACUUACAACUUUCUUUAAAGGGAGACUUACCUUCUAUCACUCUUGCUAAGCAUUUACAGCAAUUCCUAAUUAUAUCCUGAACUAAAAAGACCAUCUCCAUAUGAUGCUCAUACCAUUCCUUCUUAAUGAGGUGAUAAUACUCCAGUGACACCACCUUACCUGAAGCUGGGCAGAAUGAAACCUAAUCUUGGGUAAGAGACCUAGAAGUGAUUGGAGGCGCUACUGUGAUAAACAUAAUUUGCUGGCUUCUUCCUUGCUGUUUCCUUUCAUCCUUUCCUUAAGGCAUUGCUGAUGAAGUUGAGCUGAAGGUAGGGCCCUCUAAAUUUUUCAUGUGCAUUUAUCCCCUGAAUUAAUGUUAUCUUUGGCAAUUUUCACCAGUUAUUCAAUGCAGUGCUGCCUGUCUGCCCUCUGAGCUUUCAGGCUAGCUCAGGACCCAGGCUC
Molecule: non-coding RNA, 623 nt
Organism: Sturnus vulgaris (Common starling)
Lineage: Eukaryota; Metazoa; Chordata; Aves; Passeriformes; Sturnidae
Source: RefSeq, a predicted model, not a curated record